CACAGUCUAGAAAUUCAUUCAAAUAUAGAUAAAAUUUCGUACACAAAUAUUUUAUUAACUAGUGAUUUCGGCCCAUGGUUUCUAUAUAAUGGUAUUGCACUAUAGGUGGUUUUCGAUUUUUUUAUAUAAGCUAUUUCUUAGUGAUUAAGUUAGAUGUGGUGAAAAUAUUUUUAGGUUAGGAUUUCAGAGUUUUAUUCACAAAGGGUUUCACUCUUCACUAUUUUCCGGUCACCACCAACCCGAAAUCCGGCGAAGUUCCGGCAACCCAAAACCCCGUUUCCUUUUGCCAUUUUCCGCGAACAUCAACUCCGGCUAAACAACAACCAAAACAACUCCAAAUUCCAUCGAACUUCCACCUCCAAACCUCACUGCCAGACCAUACCUCACCAAACAACCAUCUAGCCUUCUUCUUCAUCAGUUCGCACGACCAUCUCCACCGGCCAGCAGCUCAACGGAGAAAUCAUCUCCGGUGAAACCCCGAACAGCCACCAGUCCCCAUCCCCUUUUUCUUUGACGAUUCACUUCAUUUUGCAGGUAUUUUAGCAAAACCCGCGCCGCUGCUGGUCAAAGCUUCGACAAGCAACAAACCACCAGCUAACACCACCAUUGCCUCCCCGUUUCUCCAUUUUUUCCAGACCCCAAAAUCCCAUCUCCAUUCGCCACAUUUUCCGAAACAAGCUCCAAACGAGCUCACCACAAAACCACCAGAAGCCCGCUGCUACCAGUGACAACACCCUCACUGUUCUCCCUCUUCUCCGACAAGCUCACACAACCAAUAAACUCUGUUUUCUCUGACCGAAAUCCAGCCAACCAAAUCCCCAAAUCAACCAGAAACCAGAAACCAGUCCCAAGACCCACGACCCAAAUACCCUCUUUUUCCGAGCAAAACAACCAAGCUCCAAGCAGUCAUCUCCGACCCAAAACCACUAGAUCUCACUCCAAACCUGUCAACAACAGCAAGUGAGCACUGCCGGAAGGACCACCUGGAAGCUUUAAGCUUUAAGAUUUAACAAUCAAUGAACUCACUCACUAGUUCAAAUCAGCAACACAACACUAUCAAUUCCAGCAAAUGAGUAAGCCUCUUUAUUUUUAUCUUUUGCUAUUUUACUUUGUUUAUUUUCUGCGUUUUAGAUUUGGCCGGUGUUAUUUUCAUUUUUCAUCUUUCUUUGAUAUAAAGUUAUGAUUAGCUGUGCUAUUAUUUUUACCAUGUUAUUUUAUUUUGGUUGUUUAUUCACGAUUUUUGUACUGAUUUGCUGUGUGUUUUGCCUCUUAUAUGGUUAUGCUUUGAAUUUUUUAUUUUAAACAAAAUAUCUAGUGGUUAAGGAAUUUUCUCAAGUGUGAUAUCAUUCUCUAUUUAUUGAUGUGUCAUUAUGAUAAGUUGCUAUUAAUUAUAUUUCAUAUUGUUUCAUGUAGUUGCCUCAAUCGGUCAGGUUACAUUUAUUAUAGUUUAGUUUCUAUUGUUUUUAUCCAAGUUUUUACUUAUUUUUUAAUCUAUUAGAGUUUCAAUUCUCAAAUUAGUUCUUGGUUGACUUUUUUGUUAUGUAUUGAUUGUUUUCUUAUUAAGUGUUUGUUUGUUCUUAUCUUUAAAUAUUUCUUUAAAAUAGUUUAUUUAUUCUUCUUCCAGUGCUAUAGUAAUUAGCUUAUACAUUACAAGUUAAAUGACCAAUGAGAAAAUUUCUUCGUUGGUUUUGGAGGCCUCUUCAAUAUUUUUUAAAAGACGGAAAUUUAGUUUAAGUUUAUAUUUUUUGUAAGUUAAAAUGGCCGAUGAAGAAAUUACCGUCGAUUUCCAAGGUCUUUCAUGUUAAUAAGAUGGGUUUUAUUUUUAAGUUAUUAUUUGAGUUAUUCAUUUUUAUUCAUAUUUAUUUAGUACUAACACUUUUACUAAGUGUCUUUACGGAUACACAAAGCUAUUUUCCAUUUAAGUUAUUCGAAAUAGAGUUUCGAAUUAUAAUUUUUAUUUAUUAUUGUUCAUUAUUAUUGUUUUAUUUUAUUAUUUGUGUAUAUUACUUGUUUAUUAUACUUGUAUAUUUAUUUUUUAUCUCCUCCUCAAUUUGAAAAAAAGUGAAUUCAGUCGGAACCCACAUUUGUGGAUUUCGAAAGAUGCCUAACACAUUUCGUUGCGGAAUAACUUGAACCCCUUACCUAGAAUCUAAUGGUUUCAUAGAUUACUUAAAUGGUUUCCUAGUUUUUCCUAAAAUUAGGUGGCGACUCCUUUAAAAUUCGUUUAUUCUUGAAAUUCUUUUAAAAUUGAUUCAAUUGUUUAUUUUUUGAGUCACCGCGAUAUUUCACCCUAUUUGAAUAGAGUAGGGAUGUAAACAGUACCGCCCAUGUUAAGGAAGAAAAGAGAGAGUUAGCGAAAGAUGUGCAUAGACUUGCAUGCCUGGGAGUCCGACUAAUAUAUUCCACAGAAUGAGGGGUAGUGGUGAUGAAUGGGGCUGAAUCAUAAUUAGUGUCAGAAGUAAAAGAAAAGCAAGACCAAGAUCCCAUUUUUCUUGAAUUGAAGGCAAAUACUCAUAAACAAAAAGUAAUGGCUUUUGAACAAGGGGAAGAUGGUGUGUUGAGGUAUCAAGGUAGGUUGUGUGUGCCAAGGGUGGAUGAACUCCACGAGAGGAUCAUGGAAGAAGCUCAUAGCUCCAGAUAUUCAAUCCAUCCAGGUUCCACAAAGAUGUAUCGUGACUUGAGAAAAGUGUAUUGGUGGAGUAGUAUGAAGAAGGGCAUUGCAGAGUUUGUUGUUAGGUGUCCAAAUUGCCAAUAAGUUAAAGUAGAGCACCAAAGGUCCGGUGGGUUGGCUCAAAGUAUAGAACUUCCGAAAUGGAAGUGGGAGAUGAUUAAUAUGAAUUUCAUCACAGGUUUACCAAAGGUCUCGCAGACAGCAUGAUUUGAUUUGGGUGAUUGUGGAUCGCAUGACCAAAUCAGCCCACUUUUUGCCGAUAAAAAAACUACCCAUACGGCAGAGGAUUAUGCUAAGUUGUAUCUUCAAGAACUGGUGAGUCUUCAUGGAGAUCUGGUCUCCAUUAUUUCAGACAUAGGUGUGCAAUUACUGCACAGUUUUGGAAGUCAUUCCAAAAAGGCUUGGGUUCAAAGGUGAACUUGAGUACUACCUUUCAUCCUCAGACAGAUAGGCAAGCAGAACGCACUAUUCAGACCUUAGAGGAUAUGUUGAGGGCUUGUGUGAUUGAUUUCAAAAGUAAUUAGGAUGAUCACCUACCUCUCAUUGAGUUUGCUUACAACAAUAGUUACCACUCGAGCAUCCAAAUGACUCCUUAUGAAGCUUUUUAUGGGAGAAGAUGCAGAUCUCCUAUUGGAUGGUUUGAAGUUGGUGAAGCUGGGUUGAUAGGACCUGAUUUAGUUCAUGAAGCUAUGGAAAAGGUGAAAGUGAUUCAAGGAAGGUUGAAAACAGCACAGAGUCGUCAGAAAUUCUACACUGAUGUGAGGAGAAGGGAGUUAGAGUUUGAAGUAGAUGAUUGAGUAUAUCCUAAAUUUUCAUCAAUGAAGGGUGUUAUGAGGUUUGGUAAGAAGGGGAAACUUAGUCCCCGGUACAUUGGCCCUUACAGAAUAUAAAAAAAGAUUGGUAAUGUAACUUAUGAGUUGGAGCUACCGCAAGAGUUAGCAGCGGUUCAUCCUGUAUUUCACAUCUCCAUGUUAAAGAAGUGCAUGGGCGAUCCUUCAUUGAUCAUACCAACUGAAGAUAUUGGGAUCAAUGAUAGCUUAUCUUAUGAGAGGAUUCCGGUUCAAAUUCUAGAUCGCCAAGUUCGCAAGUUGAGGACUAAGGAAGUAGCAUUAGUCAAAGUUCUUUGGAGGAACAAGUUUGUUGAGGAAGCUACUUGGGAAACUGAAGAAGAUAUGAAGAAGAGGUAUCCAUAUCUCUUUGAAAUCGGAGAAAUUCCAGAUCAAGGUACUAAUCAUUUUCUUGGUAUUUAUUUAUAAGUUGGCAUAUUGUUUUUUGCAUUUUGAUUGUUGGGUGUUUGAACUGAAUGUAAGAUAUUACACCCUUAGCCUAGAAAGAGUAAUCUCAUUCGAGGACGCAUGUUCCCAAGGGGGAGAUAUUGUAACAUCUCGCAAAUUGAAAUAACUAGGAAGAAGUUAAGAAUUGGAAAUAGUCAAUUUUUGGAAAGAAUAGAAAUCUGGAAAAUUUGUUAAGUAUGUUGAGUUGAGUUUUUUUGUCAACUUCAAACAACCAUAACUCAUAGCUCAGGAUCAUUUAGGUGUAUUUCCAGAUAUCGUAGGAAAGAUCUUGUAAUAAUCUUUCCAACUCCGCCGAAUUUGCACGAUUCCGAGUUCAUAUAAGUGAGAUAUGCCCAUUUGAAGUUGGGUUGUUCAAAUAAGGAAAGUCUAAACCGAAUUUGGUCUUUACCAUACCCAAUUAAAUUAAUUCGUUUUUGGUAAUUACUUAGGGGUCUAAACUGAACUUGGUCAGUUUACGCUUUUGAAAAAUUGAGUUAGGAUUUUAGAGAAGAGAAAAAAAAGAGGAGAAAGGAGGAGAAGAAGCAAGAAUCGUCAAUUCUCGAAGCUAAGAUUGUGGAUUUCGUCAAGGGGUGAUCCCUACGUGGUAUGUGAGGCUUUCAUAAUGUUGGGUUUGUUCACCCACGUGCCAAGCAUGUUUUUUUCAGCGUGAAUUCAUCCUAAAAGAUUUUGGACGUUUGAUGUUCUUGAUAUGUAUUCUUGAAUUUGAUGUCGUUCUUGAAUUGGGCUGAGAUUGAGAAGUUUCUGAGAUUAUUAAGUCGAAUUAUAGAGUUGUUUAGAGUUAGGUUCUUAGGUACAUUUGUUGGGUAUCUGAAUCGAAAAAGAAUUUGGGAAAAAAAUGAGUUUAGGUGAAUUGGGGCUGGAAAACGAAGAAGGAAAAUAGUCGGGCGAAUCUGGGCACUGGCUCCGCAUCAUGGACUUGCUCCUUAGAUUUAGCAAAAGUUCUUCGCGGAGCGGUCAUUGACCAUUCUGCCUCAAAAUGUAUUUUCACGACCAAAAAUUUAAAUACAUCUCCGUGUCGCGAACUAGUAUCCAGACAGUGAUUUCUUGAUCUUUUCUCAUGUUUAACUAUAUAAAAACAUUCCUACAUAUCGUGAGAUCGUUCCUAUCACAAAUCACAAUCCUUGAAUCCAUAAUUCAAUUCAAGGAAAGUUAAGAGUCAAGUCAAGGANNNNNNNNNNNNNNNNNNNNNNNNNNNNNNNNNNNNNNNNNNNNNNNNNNNNNNNNNNNNCAGGUGAAGGAAAUUCAAGAGUCAAGUCAAGAGAAGUUCAUAAAGUUUUCAAAAGUUUUUCACAAACGUUUUAACUUAUUUCAAGACUUGAGUUUUGAGUUGAGUAAAGAGUAAAGUUUGAAGUUCAUUUCUUCAAAAGAGUAUAUCGGGACUAUGUAUUCCUAAAGAGUAAUAUGUUUUCACAUUUACAGAAGAAAGGAAACCUUGAUUUCCAAAAGAGCCUUUGAGCUAGUUUUCAGUUAAAUAGUAAAUGUUUUAACAUUUGAGCAAGAAAGGGAACAUCGAUUCCAAAAGAGCUUUUAAGCUAAGUUUUGAGUAAUUAUCUCAAACCAAAGAAAGAAGCAUUGUUUUAAAAACAUAUGAGCUAAGUAUAUUUUGAGAGUAGUAUUGAGCAUCGAUAUGGGGAUGCGAGUUCAUAUUAACUCAAGUCUCCAUAAACUAUGUAGCCAUCAUGGGUAGUAAAUGAUCAUACUUUUUAGAUGAAUUCUUAAGUUGCUUUUUAGCAUAGACUAGUGGAUCCACUUAGUUAAGGCGUUCUAUAUGAUGGCAAAGUAUACGACAGUUCUGGCAGCGUGAGCAAGACAUAAUAUUGUAUCCCUACUUAGGCUCAUAGUGGUGGUUGUCGGUUAGAGAAACUCCCACAAAAACUAUAUUACUUUAUUACAUGAGUAAAGUUGAGUUUGUUAUUGCAUUUCUUUAACGAAGUGAGUUGCUUGCUACUGUUUUAAAAGUUUUCUAUAUAUUGCAUGUGUUUUAUUACUUUAUAUUGAGUUAAGUUAUUCAUGAGUUGAGUAAAGCCAAGGUAAGCGUUCCUUUCAGAUUCUUUUCAAACCUAGGUAUGUUUAGCAUUCCAACUCACAUACUCGUAAUUCAAUGUACUAAUGCCAAUUGGUCUGCAUCGUCUUAUGAUUCAGACACAGAUAAUCAGGAUCAACAUUCAGCGCUUCGUUGAUCAUGUUGAGCACUCAGAGUCAGUUGGUGAGCCCGCUUGCUUUUCGAAUGGCUCCUUCUUACAUUGCUUUCUAGUUUUCAGUUGUUAGGAUGAUCGGGGGUCUUGUCCCAACAUCCCUCUUUGUUUUAGAGGCAUCAUAGAUAGAUAGUAGUUCAGUUGUCUUUACAUGAUUAUUUCUUAUGUUAAGACUUGAGUUGCCAUUUUGGCCAAGUUGAAUGUUUGACUUUUAAAUGUUCUAAGUUAUUUUAUUAAACAAGUUGAGUAGAAGUGCAUUUGAUCAUUAUAAUAAUGCUUAGAGUCUUUCACUGAGUAAGUAAGCCAGGCCAAGGGUUUGAUUGGGGACAACAAUGGUUCUCGAGUGCCGGCCACGUUCAGGGUGUAGGCUCAGGGCGUGACAACAACAAGACUCAAAAUAGUUUUUAAAAAUAUUCAUAACAUAACAACAUAAUUUAUAAUGGAUUGAAAUGAGUAGAACUAAUAAAUAAGAAACCUAAACGGAUUGGAUGAACUGGAUUUAAUUUUACCACACCUAAUUUUUUAUUUUGUUGACGAUAGUAAUGUGGUUCCCGUCACUAGAUUGACAUCAGAAAGAAACUAAAUAACUUACUUGGCUCAACUCAACUCAACCUGACUGACUCACCUCAAUAUAAUGCAAUUUAAAACAAGUGCAAUAUAAAGAAAAGCUGUUUAAAACCUGCUAUAAACUAUGUAUGUAUACAAAGAUACAAUAAGCCUGAGAUGUAUAUAGAAAUACAAUUGAACUGAUGUAUAUAAAAAUACAAUAACUGCUGUGUAUGAAAAUAUAAUAGCUGCUGUGGGAGUUUCUCUAACCGACAACCAUCACAUGGAGCUAUAGUGAUGAUACAGUGAUCGGCCUCACGCUGCCAAAGCAUCCUAUACUCGGCCAAAGGUAGAAUACCUGAACUGCCUAAUGGAUCCACUAGUCUAUCUGGAAAAGGAUUCAUCUAAAAAGUAUGAUCCUUUUCUACCCAUGGUGGCUAACAUGGUUCUAUGGGGGCUGUGGGUUCCUUGAACGCUCCCCCAACUCGGUGCUCGAUACUACUCCCAAAAUAAUGUACUGGCUCUUAUGUUUUUAAAACAUGUUUCUUCCUGCUGAUUUGAGAUAAUUACUCAAAAACUUAGCUCAAAAGGCUAUCUUGGAAAUCUCAGUUUCCUCUUUUGCUUCAUUUAGAAAGCGAUAACUCCCCUUUUUUUUUUUGGAAAACUAGCCCG
This 7379-nucleotide long non-coding RNA is filed under the name Solanum tuberosum (potato). Its description in RNAcentral is "long non-coding RNA (STUB_LNC004946)". Lineage: Eukaryota; Viridiplantae; Streptophyta; Magnoliopsida; Solanales; Solanaceae. The record is from RNAcentral.